CAGAACACAGCAGGCCCCUGGUGAUAGAGACAGAACACAGCAGGCCCCUGGUGAUAGAGACAGAACACAGCAGGCCCCUGGUGAUAGAGACAGAAGACAACAGGCCCCUGGUGAUAGAGACAGAACACAGCAGGUCCCUGGUGAUAGAGACAGAAGACAACAGGCCCCUGGUGAUAGAGACAGAACACAGCAGGCCCCUGGUGAUAGAGACAGAACACAACAGGCCCCUGGUGAUAGAGACAGAAGACAGCAGGCCCCUGGUGAUAGAGACAGAAGACAGCAGGCCCCUGGUGAUAGAGACAGAAGACAGCAGGCCCCUGGUGAUAGAGACAGAAGACAGCAGGUCCCUGGUGAUAGAGACAGAAGACAGCAGGUCCCUGGUGAUAGAGACAGAAAACAGCAGGUCCCUGGUGAUAGAGACAGAUUAGCUCAUCAGCUACACAGGUAAGAUCAGACACAACCUGACUGCCUCAACUGUUAGAACGUCUUUGAUUGCAUUGUGCUUAAUAACUGUUGUGUUUUACGUGGUUGUUACAACUGCUUUACAUGUGUGCUAAUACAUGUGAUUUACGAAUGUUUAUAACUGGUCUAAAACAUGUCUUAUGGAUGUUUAUAACUGGUCUAAAACAUGUCUUAUGGAUGUUUAUAACUGGUCUAAAACAUAUCUUAUGG
Molecule: long non-coding RNA, 672 nt
Filed under: Salmo salar (Atlantic salmon)
Lineage: Eukaryota; Metazoa; Chordata; Actinopteri; Salmoniformes; Salmonidae
Description: lncRNA (ENSSSAG00000101449.1)
Source: RNAcentral